Molecule: ribosomal RNA, 253 nt
Filed under: uncultured bacterium
Lineage: Bacteria
Description: partial 16S ribosomal RNA
Rfam family: Bacterial small subunit ribosomal RNA
Source: RNAcentral
UACAGAGGUCCCAAGCGUUGUUCGGAUUUACUGGGCGUAAAGGGUGCGUAGGUGGCGAGGUAAGUUUGAUGUGAAAUCUCCGAGCUCAACUCGGAAAUGGCAUUGAAUACUAUCCCGCUUGAGGGUCGGAGGGGAGACUGGAAUUCUCGGUGUAGCAGUGAAAUGCGUAGAUAUCGUAAGGAAGACCAGUGGCGAAGGCGAGUCUCUGGACAGUUACUGACGCUGAGGCACAAAGGCCAGGGGAGCAAACGGG